Long non-coding RNA from Corythoichthys intestinalis (scribbled pipefish), 14723 nucleotides. RefSeq lists it as uncharacterized. The record is from RefSeq and is a predicted model, not a curated record. Lineage: Eukaryota; Metazoa; Chordata; Actinopteri; Syngnathiformes; Syngnathidae. The transcript has 4 exons.
CACAUUCAUUGUGAAAGCUGCGACAGUAGUAAUGGAAAAACAUGCAAAAAAUGUAUUUCCAAAUACAGUCUUCCAUUUAAGUUUGUGAAUUGCAUUUCCCACCUAACUGCAUUCACAUUUCAUUUUUUGUCGUUUGUAAUUUUUUUUCAUGUUUGUAACUGGACACCAGCUGUUUUUUUUGUUUGUUUUGUAUUUUAAUCUGUCUGCUCUCAUUAUUCAAGAGAAUCACAAAAGAAAUACUUUUUACCACAUCCGUCAUCAUCGAUGUUAUUGUUUAUAGAGAACUUUCCCUUUGUUUUAAGUUUGAACCCUUCCUUUGUCAUCAAGGUUUCCACUUUGCAUUUCAUCCCCAUCCCUUAGUGAGAAUGUCAGCUGACCUUAUAUGGGUGUUUGUUGGUGAGUAAUGCUCAUUUUGGUUUGCAAUAUCAAUUGUGACUGCAAUAAUUGAUCAGCCAAAAGUAUGGUGCUCACUUUCACUGUUUCACAGGAACCUCACCUAACCAUUAUAAGCCUUUUUUUGUCAUAAAAUAUAUAUAUGGCGGGAAACACUCAGGUGACUUUAAGCUCCAUUCUGAGACCCCCAAUUUGGUCAAAUUUCAAAAUUGUCCUAUAUGCAUGUGUGAUACAUCAUUGGAAAGCUUAAAUGUUUGAACAGGAGGGCAUUUUUUGACACCUUAAAAGUAGGUCAAAUCAGGUGAGUGAAAAAUAGACAUUUUUGACACCUUUGAAAUUUCCUUUACGUUAGUCAUUUUAAAAAAAAUUGUUUGGACACCCAUCCUGGUACAUAAUAAAUAACGAACACUUCAAGAUGAUUCCCCUUUGUCUACUCAAAGGGAUCCAUGGAUAGAAAAACUUGUGUUUUUAAAAGAUAAACGUUAUUAUGAGUUCAAAUAAUUUGAUAUUGAAACCCCUCUUGAUAUUUUCGUUUUUAUACCAUUGUUAAAAUUAGUUUACCUAGUAGGUCACCAUUGUUGUUGACGUCGCAGGGUGGUGACGUGACAUGGCUACGCUGCUGGCGUUUUGCCAACAUGUGCUACAUCGGCAAAACGUCCACAAGAGACCAAAUUGACAACCAAAGUACUACUGUGCGCUUUCAACUUGAUGCCUUAACAAAAAAAUUAAAUUAGUUAUAUCAAAUAAAGACGGUUUAAAUACGCUACGUGUCUAAUAUGGUCAACAGAUAAACACUCUGCUUUAAAGCUAUCACAUGAAAACACAAUGGUUAAAAGUAUGAGAAGGAAAUACAUGCAAAAAUAUUUUAGAGGCAAUGAAAAAGCAAUAGAAAACUCAAUAAAAACAAAAAUAGUGAGUAUUCACCGCUCUUAACUGAUGUGCGCAUGUGUGCCAAUGCAUGCUCAAACGUACUGAGCAUUGUGUAGACGUCUCGCCGUGUAAUGAAUUGCAGAACACCGGGCUUUCAGAGUAUGACUCUAGAGACAUAAACAUGUCGUCUGUUCAACGCUUUCCAUUUUAACCCGAGAGGAACGUGAAUGAGCCUGACAGCAAUGUCAAUAUUUCACAAAACAAGCAGCAAAAGCAAAAUGAACAGUAAAGACGGGAUGAGACGUGACAAGAGUGUAAAUAUGCUACGUGACUAAUGUGGUCAACAGAUCAACAAUCCGCUUUAAAGCUACCACAAGAAAACACAAUGCUUAAAAGAAUGAGAGGGAAACACUUGCAAAAAAUAUUUUGAGGCAACGAAAAGGUAAUAAGACUCAAUAAAAACACAAAUAGUUAGUACUCGCCACUUUUAAUCGAUGUGCGCAUUUGUUAGGAGGUCUCGCCACGUAGAAGGAAUUGCACUAACCCUGUGUUCUGCCAAAGUGUCCUACAUCGGCGAAACGUCUUUCAUGAGGCGAAUUUGACACCCGAAGUGCUACAGUGCGCUCUCAACUUGUUUUGUUUAGAUGCAUACAGGCAGAACAUACAAAAAAAAAUGCUUGAAGAAAGUACUUAAAUUUAGUUAUGUCAAAUAAAGACGGUUUAAAUACGCUACGUGACUAUUGUGGUCAACUGCAAAAAACAAUGGUUAAAAAUAUGAGAGGGAAAUACUGCAAAAGGUAUUUUUAAGGCAAUGAAAAAGUAAUAAAAAACUCCAAAACAAAAAUAGUGAGUACUCGCCACUUUUAACCAAUGUGCGCAUGCGUGUGGAUGCGCUGACGCUGAGCAACCAACAUUUCGUCGCGAUGGAAGGAAUUGCCAAACACCAGUAGUAUUCCUCGAGUGACAGUGACAAUCUAUGUCAUCACCGCGAGCGUCCAUAAAACAUGGCGCCCUCCGUAGGUCAAAACAUGCUCUAAAUAUUAAAGAUUUUUAAAUCAAUGGCAACAUUUUAUGUGUUUACAAUAAAAUAUUUUAAUAAAAGACAACAAUCGCAGCUUAUUAGAGCCUACAAGUCUUUAAGCCCGAGGUUCCCUUCAAAUCUUUGAUAAUCAAUAUGCAAGCACUAAGACGUGGGUGGAUGUACAAUAAUAAGUAAAAAAAAAAAUGGUGUGUGAGUAAAUGGAGAUUUAAUUCAGCCCUGUGUUGUAUUUUGUAAAUAAACAUGGCUAAACGGGAGUUAGCUGUAUAGUUAAUGAUAACUUUACUGCAUACAUUUUUUGAUUUGGCUUGAUUUUAUUCUGUGCCAAGAAAAAACAUUUCCAGGGGAAUUUUAUGGGUUAAAUUCCAAUACAAUAAUAUUUUAAUUUUUAUCAGUGGGCUUUUAAAAUAUUUUUUCACUUAUGAUUAAAGAAUGUGAAUGCAUGACUGCUUUGACUAAGAAUACAAGGCUCCAUAUGCAUAAAAGGAACAUAUAAAUGUGAGUACAUAACACUAUGUAUUUUUCGUAUUUUGCCUUGAAGCCUAGGAGCUAGGCUGUAUGAUUUAAGCAUUUAAUGUAUGUAAUACAUAAUAUAUCAUCUCAUAAUAAGCAAUCCAAACAGCAACAAGGGUCGAAAAGAUAAUGGAUAGCAUGCUAGUCAGUAAGCCUGCCCUGUGCAUAAUUCUCGCGCUAGCGUUUGACUGCAGUAUACGUCUUUUUGUGGCUUUCCGGUAUGUCUUGGUGCAAGCAUGAACGAGCAUCGUUAAAGACACCCUAAUUUUAACGAGAUAUUAUCGCGUACCUACUGUAACUUGUUUCAAUCCAAAAACUCCAUGUAGCAUGUAUCACCAAGUGUCAAGACACAGCUGUGAAUGGCCAAAGUCCGACUUUUUGGGGAUUUUAUGGCUGAAACACAGUAAUACAGGGUCGCGACACAAAAGUCAUGGACAAAAAGGAGUGGUUGAGAUUUUCUUUUUCAAAUAUUUACCGUUUUAAAUGGUUUGUUCCCAAUUUUUCUUUGUUUGGAUUGAUUAUUUAUCAUCUAAAAUAUCGGGGAAAAUACGACAGUAACAAAAAAAAUACAAUUAAGCGGUAGCUUUGAGGUAGAUAUACGUGAUCUAUUUACAGACAGUAUUUUUUUCAUUGAAUGUAAUUUGUUUAAAAGUUUAAAAUAUACAAGUGAAUAAUUUAAGUGUUUUUUUAAAAACUGAAUACUAGACAUAAAUUAAUUAUUCUAAGCUAAAAAUGAUAGACAUUUCGAAUAAUAUAAUUAGUUACCUUCUUUUUAUGGCUGGGUUGGUACAAAUGCAGUUGCGCAAUGUCUGUAAAUGGGGGUCCCCAGGGUAAAACGGACAAAUUAAAAAUAGUCCUGGGGCACAAUGCACCAUGAAACUGCUAUGGCAGCAUAUAGACAUAUUGUUCUAUCAAACACAACAGUUCUUUUGGCUUAAAAAAACAUCAGUUCAUUUUGAAGAGUGGUGCAAGAGCAGAAAUUGAUUUUUCAGCCUUGUGUGUUUUCCAAUGUGUAUAUCCAUAUUUCCAAGUUAGUGAGAUACUAUUCUAUCCUAUCUUAGUCUCUUCGAUUCCUCCUUUUUGCAAGCCUCUUCAUCUGUAUCUCAGGCCUGAUUGUAAGAUAUUAUUAAACCUUUGUUGGCCAUCUACCACACUUGCCCACCAAAGCUAACCGAGUACAUGAGGGGCGUAAUAAUCAAAUAGAAAUAUCUAAACAUAUAGCUAUGUAGAAUACAGAAUACAAAGUGGUAAAAGUGGGAUUUGACAGGUGUGAGAACCCUAAAAUUCGGUGUUGCGGCACGGUAAGGAAAAUUAUAUACGUGUAUUCUCAAAAGAGAAAUAAAGGUCGAAUUGACAUGAAAAACACACAUGGGAAUCUUACCUGCCUAACUAAUGCAUAGAAACCGCAAACUAACUGCGUAGAACAGCGAUUUUUGCAAAGACUAAAGUGAAAUCCAAAACUAUAUAGUCACACUGGUGAGGGGAAACAAGACUUCUUUUUGCUCUGUUUUCUUCAUGCUCCUCCAUGUUAAACAAUUAAAUUAUCAGAUAUUAACACUUAUAUUAGGUUUUCUAGCAAUUACAGUGUAAUAACGUUUGUAACAUUCAUAACAAUCCCGCUAGUCUCAGUCUUAGCCUCUACUUUUAAGCUAACUGGGAUAACCAUUAAUGUUUUGCCAUUACACAAGGCCAUGUAAAGCAGCUAGCCAUUUUGAAAUUGAAAUUCUUCUUAUUGGCCUGAUGAAUUGUUGAAUAUUACAGCACUUCAUUCACUUCACUUCAGCACACAUUGACCGUUAUUCGCUCCCUUUGGUUUAAUCACCGUUUCAGACUCCCACGGAAACAUUCAAACCAUUCAACCGAACACCGGUGGUUUGACUGACUCGGUCGAUGUUGUGUGUUAAAAAAGGCGGUGCCAGUAGAGGGUAAUGCUGCCUUUUGAGUUGUUGAGCAUAACAGCGCCUACAAUACCAUGCAGACUGUCCAUGCAAAAAUAAUAUAUAGUCUGUUGCACUACCUUUAUAUGCAGUCAAUGGGCACUACUUCCAGCUUGAAUUGAAUUAUUUGUUUACUUGACUAAGGAGGUGGAGCUGGGCUCUGAGGUGGUGGAGCUCGACUCCGAGGUGGUGGAGAUGGGCUCCGGAGGCUCCGUAGGGGACCGGCCCACUUUAACCCCAAAGUGUACAGUAGAACAGUACAGUAUUACUAUCAAUAACAGUGCCGUGUGAGUGGACUGGGCGCCGGGCGUCACAUAAGAAAUGUCGAGCUUGGCAUUGAGCUGGCAGCGGUGGCUACUUUUCUACACCCGUAUAGAACACUUUGAGGCAGUUAAUCAUUCAGUAUGGUGUUAAAGUGUCUCAAAACCUUUGACCACUGGUGUACUCGCAUACGUUUGUCCACAGUGAAUCGCUGGAUUUGACCCACAAACACGUCCCACCGACGUGACGAGCAGAGAAAUCCUUCCCUAUAUGAGACUGCAGGGUCUGAGCAUGGACAGCGGACAACAGUCAUACUCUAUAUCAGUGCUUCUCAAUUAUUUUCUGUUACGCCCCCCCAAGGAAGACGUAAAUGUUUAGCGCCCCCCCCAACUCUCUGCCGCCACUGUAAAUAGUAUCAUUUGUCUAUAAUAUUACUAUUAUAAGUACGCUUCAGCCUAAUAUUGUGUCCUUUUUUUCUAUUACAGAAAAAAAGUAACAAAGAUCAACUUAUAAUAAAGUAUAACUUUAUUAACAUUGUUUUGCUUAUAACAGAAAAGACUUAACGCGCAUCAAUUUGCCUGAAGUAAAAAAAAAAAAAAGUUCACAUCCAAACUGUAAAAAUACACUCAAGGUACAUUUUUGACCAUUUGAUACUGAAAAAUAAAAUGUAAUAAAAUCAGUAAAUAAUAACAAAUUCAAAUUGAUUAGAAACAUUUACUCUUCAGGACAACAUGCCAAAAAAUUUGACCGAAAAAAACAAAACUGAAUAGAAGGGGGCGAAAGUGUCUUUGGACAGAAGGAUAGUUUUUAUUUUCACUGAUUCACCACAGUGCUCACUGGUUUACAGAUAACACUGACAAAGCGGGACGAUUGUGACAAUUGGCAAUAUUCGGCACGUUUUCGCUGAAAAACAAUCAAGCGGCUUAUCAAUGAGAUUGAAGUCCAAUGUCUUUAAGUGGCGUCUUAACUGAUUUGGCUUCAGACUCUCCGCUAUAAUCAUUUUUAGACUCAGUAAACAGUGGUCUUUCCUCAUUUCCCACUAUAUUAAAAGUCAAAGCCAAAAGGCAAACAAGAGGCCCGCAAAAAAAGCGCAUUCUCGGCGGCCGAGGGAGAACCGUAGGUGAGGGCGGUGAUCGUGACGAUCCCAAGCCGAAAACGACACUUCUCGGCCAGACACGUGAGAAACGGAGAAGACAGUGGGUCGCUGCGUGAGUCCAGCUCUGCAUGAGUCUCUUCCGUGUGCACUUGCUUAUUUCAAAAAUACUGCACGUACUUUGAAAAUGAGAGCGCCACUGCCACCCACGGAGUGGAUGUGCAAGUACACUUUAUUCUAGUUCGGCAAAAAAAAAAAAAAAAAAAAAGCAUGUUCCCCGAGGUCACUCGCGCCACCCCUGGCAUCGCUCUGCGCCCCCCUGGGGGGGCGCGCCCCACCAUUUGAGAAGUACUGCUCUAUAUCAACGUAGAAUAGUGGCUGCAAGUAGAGACAGUCGAACUCCACUGGUUGACUGCCGGACACUCUAGGCCAGGGGUCGGCAACCUAUGACACGCGUGUCAGCACUGGCACGCGAAGGGUUAACCAGUGACACGCGAGGGCAUGGCAAAAAAAAAAAAAAAAAAAAAAUGCGUGUUAUGUUCAUUGUCGGUUGUAGCUUUAUCACUUGCUCAAGCGCCCCAUCUUGUGGCCGUUUUAUUUAUUGGUUCUAAAACAGUAGAAGAAAAAUGCAAAUAGGAAGUUCUUCAAAUGGGAUUCAGUGUGUUACAUGGCAGCUCCACUCACAACUUGAGUGGCAUUUGUGUUCUUUAGAGCAACGUCUGUGAGUAUUUUGUUGUCAAAUUGAGAAUUACACUCUUUAUAUUGUCUUUAGAUUGCAUGUUUGAGGGGAAAUGUGUUUGAUAUUUCUAAUUAAGAACUACUGAAUACAGGCUAAUUGUGUUUGCGUAUAUGGAUGGCAUUUUGUUAUUUGCAGCAUUGUUGCUGAUUGCAUGUAUUUUUUCAUUGUUUUAGUUUCAUAAAAAAGAAAAGAGACACAUAAAGGAUUACUGAAAACAUCCGGAGUGUGAACCUUUUCAUGUUUAGCUGUUUGGAUAGCGGAAGCGAGCCCAUUUACAAUGUGCCUUUUUACCGGAAAUUAAGGCAUUUUCAGUUGUGCGCCCUGUUAUUUAGGGGCUUUACGGGACCGCCCCUCUCACCCACUCUGCCUGUGGCGUUAUAUGCGAGCAAUAAUUGAUUUUGAGCACACCUCCAGCUCUUCCCCAAUUUCUCGACUCCUGCGCUUGUCGGAUUUUUUUUCUCUGCGCGUUUAAUUCAGCCCACGCUACUAACAUGUCACGAAGCCGACCAAUCAGAGAGCUGGCGGAAGUACACUGUGUUACCAAUUGCACUUUUUGGUAACUGCAACUCUGCACCGUAGGGUGUAGUGGACAGGCGAUUAACGUGGCUUGUUGUCGUCGAUUCGCCCGGUGCUUAUUACUUCAGAGAGGUGGUGAUGUGUAUAAAAACACAGUGACACGUUGGAUGGUAUUUUGCUGGAGACUUUUAUUAACAAAACUAAAACCAGCAUGGGACACAGCCACUUUUCAUGGCGCUCUUCGCACAACUCUCUCUCAACACCUUGCUCCCUGCCUCUCUUUUUCUUACGCUUAACUUGUAAGCUGGUCAUACUGUAGGGGACAGCGGCCCCUUGGGGGUGCCGGUAACAACUGGUUGGCUGGUUACUUCCGCUUGCUCUGUGCAUUAUGCCUCGGGAGCGUUGUGUGUGUGUCGCAUAACAAGUGUCAAACGCAACUACGAGACGAAACAUGAAAUUCAUGGAAAACAGGGCCAGGGAUCACAUUAAGGUAGUCAUCUUUUGUAUUUGUUAUAUAAAAUCUAAAAUAGUGCAUAGAAUUCACUGUUAGUGAAAAAGACAAAGUAGUCGCCUGACUUUGAAGGUUAAAACAGCCCGCUCUGUACUGUGAGAGACCUGCACUGAGAAUCACGCUUGUUCCCCUUUUCUUGCUGGGUUGUGUGUGUGUGUGAUAUGUUUACAUAAGAUGAUGCUCAAGUUUUGAUAUUUUCUAAAAUAUACUUUUAUUUUUUAGUUAUUUGUUAAAGAAGAAUGGUAGUUGUAAGAUUUCAACGUAUGUUCAUGUUGUUUUCUUUGGAGUAAAAUUACAGCUCUGUUGGAUAUAAAAAUUCGGAUGUGCGUCAUUAAUCUUGGUGUGGCACACUGAUUGACAAGAAAAUUUGAAAGUGGCACGCCACACCAAAAAGGUUGCUGACCCCUGCUCUAGGCUGUAUUGGCUGAACGAUAUUGUGUUAUGAAAUUUGUCAAAAUUGAGGGUCUCAGAGCGGAACUUCAAGUCAACUGAAUGUUUUCUGCCAUAUAUAUAUAUGUUGCUAAUUAGUACCCAAAAAAGUUUCUACUCAUGGUCUCCAUUCAUUUUUAAAAUAAUUGCCGUUUUUGUCUCGUUUUUUUUUUGUUUGUUUGUUUUUUUACUGUGGCAUAGUGAUAGUUACAUGGCGAACUAGGAUUUGCAGUGGGUGCAGUGGUUUUUGGUCACGUGGACCAAUAGGAGCCGAGUCCUGUUGCCGUGGUUUCAGAUAAUACACAAAAGGGCGUCAACCGCAUCCAGCACCAAUACAAGUGAAGACGACCAAAAGAAAGAAAAGGAAACAGCCUUCCAAACUUACUCAAAAGGGAUCCAAACGAUGCUAUAUGCAUCCCUCACCUGUCCAGGGCGAAGACGUGCAGGAAUUUAGAUGAAAACGGUGGGAAUUCUGCGGCAGACAAUGGCUUUCUCUGCAGGGUCCUUCUAAGGAUCUUGCUGAAAAUGAUCAACAUUGCGUCGACAUGGAUUUUGACGACAUUGACAUUGUCUGCAGGCCGGUUGCAGAAGGCUGCUGAGUUGAAGGAUGACACCGGUGUGCUUUUGCACAUCAAAGAAAAAGACCGUGCGGUAGCACAGGACCUGUUACGCACAGUACACAAAGUUUUUUUCAAAGCCUAUGGAAACAAGUACUGCAACUUGAGAUGAAUUAACUGACACCCUUCACUGACGGCUACAAUUUCUUCUGUGAGACCGGUAUCUGUCAAAGGAUUACAGUUGGAGGAAGUGCUGCGGAUGGACAAGCUACAAAAGACAUUUGUGAAGAAUCAAGUAGAUCUUGAUGCUUCAGAAUACAGGCAGGAUCAAUACUGUAAGUCUCCAGAAAGAUUUUACAGUACCUACAGGAGUAGGCAACAGAACGAGGAUUGUUGAUGUCUCUAAGGUCUCAGGUCUCAGCAGCUCUUGGCACAAGUGUGUGUUCAGCACUCAUUGGCAUCCAUACAUUCACAGGUUGUGACUCGACCAGAGCCUUUUAUGGCAAAGGCAAAAAAACAAACACUUUUUGUUGCACGUCCAAAAGAAGAAUACCUGACUCGGUUUACAAAGCUGUGCAGCAGUUUUAAAUUUGAACUACAGACAUUUAACAUGCUUGGUAAAUACUGUAUGUGUGGCACCUGUAUUUAACAUGCUAGGUAAUUAUGUGUGGCACCUGUAUUGCCAGGCAUCUGCCAGAAAUGUAAAUGAUGCCUGAUACAAAUCAUUCUGUAUUGCCUCAUCUGCCUUGUCAGAACUCUUUCUUCCCCCAGAAAGUGAUGCCCUGUACCAACAUUGCAGGAGAGCAAACUACCAAGCAGCAAUUCUGAAACAUUGUUUGAAAGGGUAAAAUGUGUGCCCCUUCACCCAUUGAGGAUGGGCAGUUGGCAGUGACAUGGAUGAAUACAAAUACUGCCCCUGCAGGUAGUCCUGUAUGUAUGUCUGCAAAACUGUCUCUUACAAACUUAUGUCAGUGUCUGCCAAGCAUGCUAAAAUGUUUCAAAAGAAACAGGACAGAUUGGUAUGGGAUGAUGACUUUGAUGAAAGCGAUAGGAGUAAUAUACACACAAUGUCAUCAUCUACAGCCCCCCCCCCCCCCCAUUUGUAUGUGUAAUCUGUAUUUCCAUAUUCAGAGACACUGCCAUAUUAAAAUAAAGGUUUAUAACACACUUGUGAAUGAUUCAAACCUUUUGUGUAUUUUGUUUUUUGGUCUUACUCUAUUUUUGCCAUGAUUCAGAUUUAGCAGGACUUUGUAGCAAUUUGGUUGAUUUUCAGCCAUUUAUGAUUAUGAUGUGCAUUUUGUAUUGUAUAUCUUUCAUUACAUAGUAGGUUGUCACGUUUAAUAUAUAACACAUAAGCGUUGGGCUAAAUUUAAUCAAAAUUUAAUUGUGCUAGGUUGAUAUCACUUAUGUUGGAGCGAUUCCUUCAAGGAAUUCGCUGCAUUUGUCACUCUGAAUUCACCUUUGUGUACACAUAAGCACCAAUACUUGUUUGAAAUAUUUGGCAGAUGUGUUUGACAUUUGAUAAAUAUCUUGUGUUGCCAGAAUCAAUAUAGCACUUAAAACAAGCAAAAGCAGCAGCACCAGAUUUUCGUUUUUGUGUACUGACAUCAAGAUACAAAUAUUACAUAAUAAUGAUAAUAAUAUAUAACACUGAUUCUUGAGAAUUUGCCAAAAACAUGUCUCACCUGGAAAAAUGCUUAUUCUGUUUGAAAAUAAUUACAUUUUCACAAAGAACAUGAAUCAAAUGUAUAAUCAGAGUGUUUUAUACACAUAUGUAACAGGCUUUUAUUGGUGGACUAUAAAUUUCAAUAAUUUUGUGACAUUAUGCUGGCCCAUUGCCUUCAAAAUCAGCUGUCCCCCGAUGGGAGCUUUUCUUUUCAAUUUGAUUAAGAAAACUAAAAGGAAUUAUGAAAUUUAAUAAUAACCUUACCAGAUUAAAAAGUUUUUGUUAUGUUUAUAAAAAACUACAAAAAGUGAAUUUUGAAAAAAAUUAACCAUUUUCUGAUUGAUCAAAAUGUGUCCCUCACCAACUGUUCCUACCGUCAGAUUUUUUGUAAAAUCAAUAAAAUCAGGCAAGUACAAGGUCCACUACAUUCCUGAGGACCUCUUUUCAAACCUUCACUUCUUCUUCCUGGUUUAAGAUCACUCAAGCUCCCAUAAGUUUGCCAUUUUCUCUAAAACCUGUAUAUAUUCUUUUAAACUGCUUCUGUUGCGACCAUAACAUGUCACCACCGUAUCUUUUGAGUAUAGAAAAAAAAAAAAUAAUAAUAACAUAAAUGUUUAAUAUUUAAGAAGAGGUUUGUGGCAGCUAGCAAGAGAGUGAAAACAAGAUAGCUAAUGUGGACUACCUCUGCAUAGCAUGGAAAAGACUAGAUUUUUGUCACUACCGUCAAAUGUCACUACCGUCAGACUUUCUGACGGUGGUGACAUACAGACUGACGGUAGUGACGAAAACGUCCAAAUGGUCCCUAAGGAAGGAUUAAAUAUGAUUUGCUGACCACAAUUAGUACAAUUAUAGCAUACCUGUUAAGUUGUAGAAAUUGCAAAUAGGGAGAUUUCUGUUUGCCAACCCCGAUGAUGCGCGCGCGCGCGACAAUCGCUAAGACAAAAUGCAACCAUUUUUUUUCAAGUUCAUUUUGGUCACAACACUUGUGUAAAAAUUAACUACACUGUCAAAGAACCUCUUUUUGGUGGCAUCAGAGAUAGUCUUCAACUUGCUCCAUGUAUUGUCUGGCAUCAUGUGAUACGGCUAUGUUGCCUGUGUCAUGCCAGUUCUCCUUGUUCCUGUAAUCAACAUCUAGGAUAUCCUCAGCUUUCCUGAUCACAUCCAUUUGCACAAAUUUGGACAUCAGCUUCCUCAGCAGCCUCUUCAUCUCAUCAACCAUCACUCCAAUUAGGGUUUCAUCAGACUAAAUCAGCAAGAUUAAAAACAUUAAUUACAUCAUUUAGAAAAUUAAUCAUAUUUGUUUUUAAAAGUAUCUUUGUCAUGGCAGUUUUUUAAUUGAAUUGUAACCUAGAAUUGAAACUUUAUAUUUUUUGUUUCAGCACAGUAAUAAUGAUAUAAUGUAAUAAAGUGUAUAGUAUACACUUUAGCUUUAGCAUAAUAGCGAAUCUAAAUUAUUAAACUUCAAGUAAGUAACGAUACGCUUUCUCACUUAAAUUCAUAUAUUGUGGGGGUAGGACCGCAGUGGUUUAAUAUUCCAUGAUGUUUGAUCCACGAAAACACAGAGUGAAGCAGCGACUUCUUCCUCGUCAUCGUUCUCCCAUCAUUAGCUCUAAUACUAUUAGCAUUAGGCUAGUUAGCUAUCGCUGGCAGGUAAGACUUACGGCAAUUACGUUGACGAACGUUGUUUUUCCCGAAUACUGGAGGCCGACCAGGGUCAGCUCCAUCUCUUCCUUCCAAAAUAAAGACUUGAACCAGUCUAAAAGCCGGUUUAUUAGUGCCAGCAUCUUGGGAAGUCGGUGGUGCUUCGCCUCUUCCCUCCCUGUCAGAUGUUUGGUUGGGCUUUUCCAGCUCUGAAGGGGAGGGAGGGCAGGGAAGUCGGAGACAGCCAGGCUAUUCGUUGUUGGUCACUUUCCGAAUCGGGCCGAAUGGUAUCGUUACAAAACGGUGACAAACAAAAACGUAAAAAAAAAAAAAAAAAUUGAGAUUUUUGGAAAAUCGGGAGAUUUGGCUUUCUAAUCGUGAGGCGUGAGCAUUGGGGUCAAAAUCGGGAGUCUCCCGACCAAAUCGUGAAACUUAACAGGUAUGUUAUAGUUUUAAUUUUUUAUCUAUCUUUAUCUGUAUUUGUGUAUGAGAAUAGCAGAGUUUCUUCAUUUCCUUUAUAACGUUGAUACAAUUCACUUCUGGUCAGAUGGCCCCAGCAAGCAGUAUAAAAACAACAAAAAAAACUUCACUUCUUUGCAGUGUCCCUCCAACUCUAGAUUUCCAGAGCACCACCUGGAACUUCUUCCCCACCUCACAUGGAAAGGGAGCCCCAGACGGGGUUGGAGGAACUGUGAAAAAGGCUGCAGAUAGCCUUAUACUGAGUGGAAAGGACAUUGUGGAUGGCAGUGUCUUUCAUGAGAUGGUUGGGAGGAGUCUGUGCAGUACCAAGGCCUUCAUUAUCACAUAAGCUGUCAUGCAACCUCUGUGCAGUAUCAAGGCCUUCAUUAUCACAUAAGCUGUCAUGCAACCAUAUGAUGCACUCCUAAGUCAGACACUAAAAGCUGUACCUACCACUCGGAUAAUCCAUCAGGUCAUCCCAACAAAUCAAAAAGACUUUGGGAUCAAAUGCAGGUUGCUGUCCUGUUUCUCCAGUGAACCAAAGAUUUGCGAAUGUUUCAGCCCUACGACAUGCCAGUUGAAGGCCAGCAUACCCAGGGUCGAGGAUGACUGUGGCCCACCGCAAAAGAAAAAGAAAAGUCCUCUGGCAAUGCUCAUGGAGUAGAUGGAGCAGGAAGAGGAAAGCGAGCCACAGGAAGUGGAGGAAGAUGAAACACCAACCAGCAGGGUUCCACUUCCAGAUGGGACUGUAGCCGAUCUAUCUGUUGAUAAAGUUCAUUGCGGAGAUUGGCUUGCAGUGAUUUAUGACAAGAACUGGUGGUUGGGAAAGGCUGUAAUGCUGGAUGCUCAGCAUGAAGAUGUACAGGUGGAAUUCUACCAUCCUCAUGGGCCUAAUCCACAAUUCAGUCCAAGACAGGGAAAAGGGAGAAGAAAUGUGUGCUUCAUACCAUUUGAACAUAUUCUGGUCAAACUCGUGGAACCAUCUGCACCAGGUCGGUCAAGCAGAAGAAGGGAGAUAUACAGCCUGUCUAAUGAAGUCAUGGACUACAUAGAGGAGAAAGACGUACAUUAUAGGGGCUGACAAAGCUGAAUGAGUGUUGGAAUGAUAAAGUUGAUGUCUUCUCUCCAAUAAGACUAUAUGUUCAAUACACAGUUUAUAUGCACUAGAUGGCAGUUUACAAUGUCAUGACUUGACAUGACAUUAUUUUCCAAUGUUAAUUGAUUAUUCUUGUCUGUGAUUUGAUUAUUUUUUUCUUUGAUUCUUCCCUAUGUUGCCAAUCAAAUAUGUAUCACAGUGAUCAUACUUGUUCUUUUUUUUUGCAAAUUGUUAAAUAAAGUUGUAAAACAAAAAAGCAUGACUGGUGGUUUAUAUUAUGGAAUUAUAUGUGAAAAUGGAGGGCACUGUCACCACAGUCAGAUAUGUGUCACCACCGUCAGGUCCAAUGUCAGAGGGACUUUUAUUUUCUUUAAAUACAUAUGUUUGUAAUUUGUUACUUCAGUGCUCCUGGGUUAUAGAGGUAACAUUCUAUUUUAUUAGAGAAAUGUGUUUUUAGAUUAAAAAAAACCAACCCAUUGACAUAUUUAAGUGAAAAGUAAACAUUGGAUUAUGUAAGAUCUUAAAGAGGAGUAUACUUGAAACAGUAUAAAAAAUAAAGGAAAGUCAAUAUUUACCAUUUAGCACCAUAUAUGUGUAGUUAUAAUGAAAGGCAUUGGUUUGAAAGCUCCAAAUUGGUAUUGGACGAGAAAAAUAAAAAUAAAUGAGCUUUCGUAUUGUGUCUGACGGUAGUGACAAGUGCAACGCAGUGACUCAAAAAGCAUCUAUUUUAUGAAAAAGGUAAAAAUUGGGGAGCUGACACCGGUACGUUGCUGAACAGCUAAGACAUUGGUCUUUAAUAACAUGACUUCAGAUUUUGCAAUCAAACACCAACGCCAUGGAAAAGGGGCCCAUGACAAAUGCAUACCUUACCACCUCAGUUGCACAACAGCAAUUCAUAAUUAAUAUUACAGAAAGUGAAGAUAUUGUUUCCUUAAUGUCUUAUCCUCUUAACCUUGCUUUACAAUUUAAAAUCAUUUAUUUGUACAACUAUCGAUUUACUUGA